Molecule: ribosomal RNA, 883 nt
Filed under: uncultured bacterium
Lineage: Bacteria
Description: bacterial SSU rRNA
Rfam family: Bacterial small subunit ribosomal RNA
Source: RNAcentral
GGAACUGCAUCCAAAACUAACUCACUAGAGUACGAUAGAGGGAGGUAGAAUUCAUAGUGUAGCGGUGGAAUGCGUAGAUAUUAUGAAGAAUACCAGUGGCGAAGGCGGCCUCCUGGAUCUGUACUGACACUGAGGUGCGAAAGCGUGGGUAGCGAACAGGAUUAGAUACCCUGGUAGUCCACGCCGUAAACGAUGACAACUAGCUGUUAGGAGACUAUGUCUUUUAGUGGCGCAGCUAACGUUUUAAGUUGUCCGCCUGGGGAGUACGGCCGCAAGGCUAAAACUCAAAUGAAUUGACGGGGACCCGCACAAGCAGUGGAUCAUGUGGUUUAAUUCGAUGCAACGCGAAAAACCUUACCUACUCUUGACAUACUUGGAAGCUCUUGUAAUGAGAGUGUGCUUUUAAGAACCAAGAUACAGGUGCUGCAUGGCUGUCGUCAGCUCGUGUCGUGAGAUGUUCCGUUAAGUCGGAUAACGAGCGCAACCCUUACCCUUAUUUGCCAGCGAUUCGGUCGGGAACUAUAAGGGGACUGCCGGUGAUAAACCGGAGGAAGGUGAGGACGACGUCAAGUCAUCAUGGCCCUUACGAGUAGGGCUACACACGUGAUACAAUGGGAGAGACAGACGGACGCUAAGCCGCGAGGUGGUGCUAAUCCUAGAAACUCUCUCGUAGUCCGGAUUGGAGUCUGCAACUCGACUCCAUGAAGUUGGAAUUGCUAGUAAUCGCGGAUCAGCAUGCCGCGGUGAAUACGUUCUCGGGUCUUGUACACACCGCCCGUCACACCAUGGAAGUGGAUUGCACCAGAAGUAGAUAGUCUAACCUUAGGGAAGGCGUUUACCACGGUGUGCUUCAUGACUGGGGUGAAGUCUGUAACAAGGUAAC